GACGAACGCUGGCGGCGUGCUUAACACAUGCAAGUCGAACGGAAAGGCCCUGCUUUUGUGGGGUGCUCGAGUGGCGAACGGGUGAGUAACACGUGAGUAACCUGCCCUUGACUUUGGGAUAACUUCAGGAAACUGGGGCUAAUACCGGAUAGGAGCUCCUGCUGCAUGGUGGGGGUUGGAAAGUUUCGGCGGUUGGGGAUGGACUCGCGGCUUAUCAGCUUGUUGGUGGGGUAGUGGCUUACCAAGGCUUUGACGGGUAGCCGGCCUGAGAGGGUGACCGGCCACAUUGGGACUGAGAUACGGCCCAGACUCCUACGGGAGGCAGCAGUGGGGAAUAUUGCACAAUGGGCGGAAGCCUGAUGCAGCAACGCCGCGUGCGGGAUGACGGCCUUCGGGUUGUAAACCGCUUUCGCCCGUGACGAAGCGUGAGUGACGGUAAUGGGUAAAGAAGCACCGGCUAACUACGUGCCAGCAGCCGCGGUGAUACGUAGGGUGCGAGCGUUGUCCGGAUUUAUUGGGCGUAAAGGGCUCGUAGGUGGUUGAUCGCGUCGGAAGUGUAAUCUUGGGGCUUAACCCUGAGCGUGCUUUCGAUACGGGUUGACUUGAGGAAGGUAGGGGAGAAUGGAAUUCCUGGUGGAGCGGUGGAAUGCGCAGAUAUCAGGAGGAACACCAGUGGCGAAGGCGGUUCUCUGGGCCUUUCCUGACGCUGAGGAGCGAAAGCGUGGGGAGCGAACAGGCUUAGAUACCCUGGUAGUCCACGCUGUAAACGGUGGGUACUAGGUGUGGGGUCCAUUCCACGGGUUCCGUGCCGUAGCUAACGCUUUAAGUACCCCGCCUGGAGAGUACGGCCGCAAGGCUAAAACUCAAAGGAAUUGACGGGGCCCCGCACAAGCGGCGGAGCAUGCGGAUUAAUUCGAUGCAACGCGUAGAACCUUACCUGGGUUUGACAUGGAUCGGGAGCGCUCAGAGAUGGGUGUGCCUCUUUUGGGGUCGGUUCACAGGUGGUGCAUGGCUGUCGUCAGCUCGUGUCGUGAGAUGUUGGGUUAAGUCCCGCAACGAGCGCAACCCUUGUUCACUGUUGCCAGCACGUUAUGGUGGGGACUCAGUGGAGGCCGCCGGGGUCAACUCGGAGGAAGGUGGGGAUGACGUCAAGUCAUCAUGCCCCUUAUGUCCAGGGCUUCACGCAUGCUACAAUGGCUGGUACAGAGAGUGGCGAGCCUGUGAGGGUGAGCGAAUCUCGGAAAGCCGGUCUCAGUUCGGAUUGGGGUCUGCAACUCGACCUCAUGAAGUCGGAGUCGCUAGUAAUCGCAGAUCAGCAACGCUGCGGUGAAUACGUUCCCGGG
Molecule: ribosomal RNA, 1343 nt
Filed under: uncultured bacterium
Lineage: Bacteria
Description: 16S ribosomal RNA
Rfam family: Bacterial small subunit ribosomal RNA
Source: RNAcentral